RNAcentral lists this ribosomal RNA (346 nucleotides) under uncultured bacterium. RNAcentral describes it as "bacterial SSU rRNA". It matches the Rfam family "Bacterial small subunit ribosomal RNA", at positions 917 to 1288 of the family's 1533-position model. The record is from RNAcentral.
GGGCCCGCACAAGCGGUGGAGCAUGUGGUUUAAUUCGAUGAUACGCGAGGAACCUUACCAGGGCUUAAAUGGAAAAUGACAGGGGCAGAGACGCCCCCUUCUUCGGACAUUUUUCAAGGUGCUGCAUGGUUGUCGUCAGCUCGUGCCGUGAGGUGUCAGGUUAAGUCCUAUAACGAGCGCAACCCCUACCGUUAGUUGCCAGCGAGUAAUGUCGGGGACUCUAACGGAACUGCCGGUGCAAACCGUGAGGAAGGUGGGGACGACGUCAAAUCAUCACGGCCCUUACGUCCUGGCCACACACGUGCUACAAUGGUAGUGACAAUGGGUUAAUCCCAAAAAGCUAUCU